ACGGAGGGUGCAAGCGUUGUUCGGAAUCACUGGGCGUAAAGCGCGUGUAGGCGGCCAUUUAAGUCUGGUGUGAAAGCCCUGGGCUCAACCCAGGAAGUGCACUGGAUACUGGAUGGCUGGAGUACCGGAGAGGAGGGUGGAAUUCCUGGUGUAGCGGUGAAAUGCGUAGAUAUCUGGAGGAACACCGGUGGCGAAAGCGGAUCUCUGGCACGUUACUGACGCUGAGGCUCGAAAGCGUGGGGAGCAAACGGGA
RNAcentral lists this ribosomal RNA (253 nucleotides) under uncultured prokaryote. RNAcentral's name for it is "partial 16S ribosomal RNA". It matches the Rfam family "Bacterial small subunit ribosomal RNA", at positions 525 to 777 of the family's 1533-position model. The record is from RNAcentral.